Molecule: unclassified non-coding RNA, 400 nt
Filed under: Bombus terrestris (buff-tailed bumblebee)
Lineage: Eukaryota; Metazoa; Arthropoda; Insecta; Hymenoptera; Apidae
Description: misc RNA ENSBTSG00005033240.1
Source: RNAcentral
GAUAGAAUCAAUACUUACUAUUUAUCAGUACGAAGAGGAAAGAAGUAAUUGAAAGUGUAUGAAAUGGUUCUCGGAUACACCUGAAUUAACCAACUCUAAAUGUGUUUCUUCAACGAUAAGAUCUUAAAAGUUCUACAUCUAUUUCUUGUCUGAGUUCAAAAUUGAAGUAUUCGAUUCCAGUUAUAGCAAGAGAUAAAGAAUUAACACCACAAAAACGUUCAUCACCCCACUGUCACAAAUCUCGGGCAAACAUAAUCGGAUUGAAUCAUAACAACUACUUCUAAGUUUUAUUAUUUAAGUACAGCUAUAAUAAAUAGUCUAGACUAAAGUAUUGGGGAUCUUCCCAAAAAUUCCAAAAGAAAGGCCCCGAUGUCCUUUCAUCUCCGACAUAUAUACCAGG